CGCGUAGGCGGAUGUUACAGUCAGGCGUGAAAUUCCUGGGCUCAACCUGGGGGCUGCGUUUGAUACGUGAUGUCUGGAGUUCGGAAGAGGGUCGUGGAAUUCCCAGUGUAGAGGUGAAAUUCGUAGAUAUUGGGAAGAGCACCGGUGGCGAAGGCGGCGACCUGGUCCGAUACUGACGCUGAGGCGCGAAAGCGUGGGGAGCAAACAGGAUUAGAUACCCUGGUAGUCCACGCUGUAAACGAUGUGCGCUGGAUGUUGGGUGACAUAGUCAUUCAGUGUCGUAGCUAACGCGAUAAGCGCACCGCCUGGGGAGUACGGCCGCAAGGUUGAA
RNAcentral lists this ribosomal RNA (331 nucleotides) under uncultured bacterium. Its description in RNAcentral is "bacterial SSU rRNA". It matches the Rfam family "Bacterial small subunit ribosomal RNA", at positions 568 to 898 of the family's 1533-position model. The record is from RNAcentral.